This 714-nucleotide long non-coding RNA is filed under the name Homo sapiens (human). RNAcentral describes it as "HSALNT0246226". The record is from RNAcentral. Lineage: Eukaryota; Metazoa; Chordata; Mammalia; Primates; Hominidae.
AGAUCAUCGCACCCCCAGAGCGCAAGUACUCGGUGUGGAUCGGUGGCUCCAUCCUGGCCUCACUGUCCACCUUCCAGCAGAUGUGGAUUAGCAAGCAGGAGUACGACGAGUCGGGCCCCUCCAUCGUCCACCGCAAAUGCUUCUAAACGGACUCAGCAGAUGCGUAGCAUUUGCUGCAUGGGUUAAUUGAGAAUAGAAAUUUGCCCCUGGCAAAUGCACACACCUCAUGCUAGCCUCACGAAACUGGAAUAAGCCUUCGAAAAGAAAUUGUCCUUGAAGCUUGUAUCUGAUAUCAGCACUGGAUUGUAGAACUUGUUGCUGAUUUUGACCUUGUAUUGAAGUUAACUGUUCCCCUUGGGUAUUAACGUGUCAGGGCUGAGUGUUCUGGGAUUUCUCUAGAGGCUGGCAAGAACCAGUUGUUUUGUCUUGCGGGUCUGUCAGGGUUGGAAAGUCCAAGCCGUAGGACCCAGUUUCCUUUCUUAGCUGAUGUCUUUGGCCAGAACACCGUGGGCUGUUACUUGCUUUGAGUUGGAAGCGGUUUGCAUUUACGCCUGUAAAUGUAUUCAUUCUUAAUUUAUGUAAGGUUUUUUUUGUACGCAAUUCUCGAUUCUUUGAAGAGAUGACAACAAAUUUUGGUUUUCUACUGUUAUGUGAGAACAUUAGGCCCCAGCAACACGUCAUUGUGUAAGGAAAAAUAAAAGUGCUGCCGUAACC